Nerophis lumbriciformis (worm pipefish) is the source of this 827-nucleotide long non-coding RNA. RefSeq lists it as uncharacterized. The record is from RefSeq and is a predicted model, not a curated record. Lineage: Eukaryota; Metazoa; Chordata; Actinopteri; Syngnathiformes; Syngnathidae.
UGGAAACCCAAAUCCCGGGCAACUAAACAAAACCGACGUUAACACUUGUUAAGCGACACGACGACUGUUAACCUCAUUGUUGUCACGUCUCAAGAGUUUUAUGUUGUCGAAUGUUUCAAGUGGGUCUGCUUCCACGGACAACAAGAUUGGAGAGGAGGCGGGACCAAAGGAAUGGAACGUUUCCUGUGGAUGAACACUAGAGGGAGCUGUCGUGUUGUGGCGUGAGGAGCCCGGGAGGCCCAUGGAACAGGCCGGGUUGUAGACGCCGUUGUAGCCGUUGCCGUAGACGUUGGAGGCGGCCAGGGAGUAGUCCGCCUCCCCGGUCCUGUUGGGGAGCAAGCAGCCGCUGGACUGGUCCGAGCUGUUGAGGAUCUGGUCGAUCCCAAAGCUGAUGGGUUCGUGUGCGUCACAGGUCCGACAUGGUGCCUUCAUGGCCGGGUCUCUAGGAGACGGCAUAUUCCAUUUUGGAGCGCCAAGCACCGACACUUUAGUGAUCCGAAUCCCAGCAGCUCCCGCCGAGAGCCUGCAUAGGUCCUGAAUGGAUGCUGCAGAACCAGGACCAGGACCAGGACCAGAGACCGACCAGCCCCGGAAAAGCAAACCAUGACCCGGUGCGCAUAAGUCAGGACUUUUGUUUAUUACAAGCCAGCCAGGAAACUUGUGUUGCGUUCAAGUGCAGGUGAGAAGAAACCCUCCUCCUUGUCCUCAUCCUCCUCUUCUUCAUCCUGCUGCACGUCUCUUAAAGGCUUUGCCUGCGGUUGUCUGCUGUGAUGAAUGUUUGUCUUCAGGCGAUGCUGCUUCUCCUGUCUGCUAAUAAAGAAGAACAU